RNAcentral lists this transfer RNA (16 nucleotides) under Python regius (ball python). RNAcentral describes it as "partial tRNA-Thr". The record is from RNAcentral. Lineage: Eukaryota; Metazoa; Chordata; Lepidosauria; Squamata; Pythonidae.
GCUCUAAUAGCUUAAA